GGCCCAAUGGUCUAGAGGUAAGAUACUUGCUUUGGGAGUUGCCACUUAGAUUCUUCUUGCAAGGGAUCCCGGGUUCGAUCCCCGGUUGGGCCC
Transfer RNA from Daedalea quercina L-15889, 93 nucleotides. It matches the Rfam family "tRNA". Rfam says of the family: Transfer RNA (tRNA) molecules are approximately 80 nucleotides in length. Their secondary structure includes four short double-helical elements and three loops (D, anti-codon, and T loops). The record is from Rfam. NCBI's taxonomy places the organism in Eukaryota, Fungi, Basidiomycota, Agaricomycetes, Polyporales, Fomitopsidaceae.